Molecule: long non-coding RNA, 465 nt
Filed under: Homo sapiens (human)
Lineage: Eukaryota; Metazoa; Chordata; Mammalia; Primates; Hominidae
Description: HSALNT0281199
Source: RNAcentral
GUCUCUCCGUAGAGAGAAUACGAUAACUGAAGAGGGCUUUAUAUGCUGAGAUGAAAUUUAGUUUGUUCAAAUCCGUAAUGAAUUGCCAUCGGGAAGGGAAUUUUCUAGAGAGAUCUUAGUCAUCUAAUUUGCGGCUGGCCUACUUGACCUUUUUCUUCUUUACUCCUGAAUCUUGUUUAUAAAAAAUGCAAUGUAAUAAAAUAUAAUUUAUAUUGUAUGUAAUAUAAAUUAUUUAUACCUCUGUGAAUAUAUAUGAUAAACAAAUGAAUAUAUACAAUGUAAUGUUAUAUUACAUCAUGGGUCAUUUUCUUCCUAAACUAUAAUCAUUUUUACAGUUUUAAACCAAAAAGGUAGUGAAAAUAAGCGAGCCCAUAUUAAAUUUCUAGGAAGUAUCCCUAAAUUGUUUCCUCAGUCUUUUGACUUAUUUCACAUGGAAUCCUAACAUACGUGGUUGUCUGUUUUUCA